This is a long non-coding RNA of Cyprinus carpio carpio, 1591 nucleotides long. NCBI's taxonomy places the organism in Eukaryota, Metazoa, Chordata, Actinopteri, Cypriniformes, Cyprinidae. The record is from Ensembl.
GUUACAGAGUCACACUAGAGCAGAGUCAGAACCAAACGCAGCUUUACAGAGUCACACUAGAGCGGAGUCAGCACCAAACACAGCUUUACAGAGUCACGCUAGAGCGGAGUCAGAACCAAACGCAGCGUUACAGAGUCACACUAGAGCGGAGUCAGCACCAAACGCAGCGUUACAGAGUCACACUAGAGCGGAGUCAGAACCAAACACAGCUUUACAGAGUCACAUUAGAGCGGAGUCAGAACCAAACGCAGCUUUACAGAGUCACACUAGAGCGGAGUCAGAACCAAACACAGCGUUACAGAGUCACACUAGAGCGGAGUCAGCACCAAACACAGCGUUACAGAGUCACACUAGAGCGGAGUCAGAACCAAACGCAGCUUUACAGAGUCACACUAGAGCGGAAUCAGAACCAAACGCAGCUUUACAGAGUCACAUUAGAGCAGAGUCAGAACCAAACGCAGCUUUACAGAGUCACAUUAGAGCGGAGUCAGAACCAAACACAGCUUUACAGAGUCACAUUAGAGCGGAGUCAGCACCAAACGCAGCGUUACAGAGUCACACUAGAGCGGAGUCAGAACCAAACACAGCUUUACAGAGUCACACUAGAGCGGAGUCAGCACCAAACGCAGCUUUACAGAGUCACACUAGAGCGGAGUCAGAACCAAACACAGCUUUACAGAGUCACACUAGAGCGGAGUCAGCACCAAACGCAGCUUUACAGAGUCACACUAGAGCGGAGUCAGAACCAAACAGUCACAUUAGAGCGGAGUCAGCACCAAACGCAGCUUUACAGAGUCACGCUAGAGCGGAGUCAGAACCAAACACAGCUUUACAGAGUCACACUAGAGCGGAGUCAGAACCAAACAGUCACAUUAGAGUGCAGUCAGCACCAAACACAGCUUUACAGAGUCUGGAGAGAGCUGGAGCUUGAAUUCACUGCUGAACCCAGAGAACAUGAACCAGAUCAGUCAAAGAUGAACAUCAGCUGCAGAAAUGAGUUACAUGUCAUGAUACGGAGAUUUCAAUAUUUCAAACAGUCUGCAUGUCCAAAUAAAAUAAAAGCUCACUUGAUCGACAGGAACCCAAAAUGCUCAGAAAACUUUGGAUAUUUUCCUUCAGCUCUGUGAUGGUUUCUGUGCUCCUCCAGAAGCAGAAACGAUGGACACAGUCUUCUUGAUGGGAGUUUUCUGAAGUCUGGAAAAAAGUGAUUCAUAAACUCAUGACUCAGAGCUCAGUCUAAAUUCUAAACUCUCAAGCAUGAAUUGGUUUCUUCACAAAGCAGCAGAUUCUCUGUGUUUUUCCACACAGACCAGAGACUCGCCUGAACAUUUUCCAGCUGAAACUCCUCCAGAUCUUCUUAUAUAAGCAGUGAUUGUCAGAUGAUCAGCUGUGUCUCAUAAACCCAUCACAUUACACUUAAUCACUUCAAAACAGUGUUUUAUGGCUGUAAACUCCAGGAACAGAUCAAUCCCAAAUCCAUGAUUAAAGUGGAAAUGAAUCCUGUGUGUUUCUGAUGCUGGUAAUGUCCAAAUAUAUUAGAAACCCAGUUUUGCCUAGAGAUGGAGAAACAAAUCUUUCCAGAUAAAAAAAA